This 135-nucleotide ribosomal RNA is filed under the name uncultured eukaryote. Its description in RNAcentral is "partial 18S ribosomal RNA". It matches the Rfam family "Eukaryotic small subunit ribosomal RNA", at positions 1299 to 1458 of the family's 1831-position model. The record is from RNAcentral.
UGGUGGAGUGAUUUGUCUGGUUAAUUCCGAUAACGAACGAGACGUUGAUCUGCUAACUACCGUGUUGAACGUGUUCUUCAACGGUUCUUAGAGAGACUGCUGUAGUUUAUACAGUGGAAGUUCGAUGCAAUAACA